Molecule: ribosomal RNA, 257 nt
Filed under: uncultured prokaryote
Description: partial 16S ribosomal RNA
Rfam family: Bacterial small subunit ribosomal RNA
Source: RNAcentral
UAAUACGUAGGGGGCGAGCGUUGUCCGGAUUCAUUGGGCGUAAAGAGCUCGUAGGCGGUUCGGUAAGUCAGGUGUGAAAACUCCAGGCUCAACUUGGAGACGCCACCUGAUACUGUCGUGACUAGAGUCCGGUAGGGGAGCAUGGAAUUCCUGGUGUAGCGGUGAAAUGCGCAGAUAUCAGGAGGAACACCAGCGGCGAAGGCGGUGCUCUGGGCCGGAACUGACGCUGAGGAGCGAAAGCGUGGGGAGCGAACAGG